Non-coding RNA from Caenorhabditis elegans, 132 nucleotides. Lineage: Eukaryota; Metazoa; Nematoda; Chromadorea; Rhabditida; Rhabditidae. The record is from Ensembl.
UCAUUUUCCCGGACGUAUCACUACAUCACCGGGAUCCUUCAUUCUUUAGCGCAAAAAAGUGAUGGAAAGUGUAAAAAUCUUCCGUCACUACGGGUGGGUGUUCAUAAAACAAAUGCGUUGUCAGAAAUGAUG